UUAACUUAAAAUAAAUAUGUAUUAUAAUUUAUUUAUUUUUCAUAAUAAUAAGAAAGGGAAAUAACAAUGAAAGGGAAAAUAACAUACUUGAAAAGGGAAGGUUGAAAGAACAAGGUUUUCCCCCCCCACACUUAAAUGGAACAUUGUCCCCAAUGUUUCAAAGAAAACCAACGAAAUAGAAAAAAGAAAAAGAAACUAAAAUCAAUGCUG
RNAcentral lists this long non-coding RNA (210 nucleotides) under Lathyrus oleraceus (garden pea). RNAcentral describes it as "Pisum sativum (pea) long non-coding RNA (PSAT_LNC036433)". Lineage: Eukaryota; Viridiplantae; Streptophyta; Magnoliopsida; Fabales; Fabaceae. The record is from RNAcentral.